AGUGAACGCUGGCGGUAUGCCUAACACAUGCAAGUCGAACGGCAGCACAUUAUGCGCUUGCUCUUCCGGGUGGCGAGUCGCGGACGCGUGAGGAAUACAUCGGAAUCUACUUUUUCGUGGGGUAUAACUUCGGGAAACUUACGCUAAUACCGCAUACGACCUACGCGUGAAAGCACUGGCUCUUCGGACCUUGCGCGAUUAAAUGAUCCGAUGUCGGAUUAGCUAGUUGGCGGGGUAAAGGCCCACCAAGGCGACGCUCCGUAGCUGGUCUGAGAGGAUGAUAGGAGACAGUGGAAGAGAGACACGGGCCAGACUCCUACGGGAGGAAGCAGUGGGGAAUAUUGGACAAUGGGAGCAAGCAUGAUCCAGCAAUACCGCGUAGGUGAAGAAGGCAUUCGGGUGGUAAAGCACUUUUGUUGGGAAAGAAAAGCAGCAGGUUAAGAACAAGAUGUACUGACGGUACCCAAAGAAUAAGCACCGGCUAACUUCGUG
RNAcentral lists this ribosomal RNA (492 nucleotides) under uncultured bacterium. RNAcentral describes it as "partial 16S ribosomal RNA". It matches the Rfam family "Bacterial small subunit ribosomal RNA", at positions 29 to 507 of the family's 1533-position model. The record is from RNAcentral.